CCUACGGGUGGCAGCAGUGGGGAAUAUUGCACAAUGGGGGAAACCCUGAUGCAGCGACGCCGCGUGAGUGAAGAAGUAUUUCGGUAUGUAAAGCUCUAUCAGCAGGGAAGAAAAUGACGGUACCUGAAUAAGAAGCCCCGGCUAACGACGUGCCAGCAGCCGCGGUAAUACGUAGGGGGCAAGCGUUAUCCGGAUUUACUGGGUGUAAAGGGGGCGUAGACGGCAGCACAAGUCUGGAGUGAAAUGCCGGGGCUUAACCCCGGAACUGCGUGGGAAACUGUGCAGCUAGAGUGCAGGAGAGGUCAGUGGAAUUCCUCGUGUAGCGGUGAAAUGCGUAGAUAUUAGGCGGAACACCAGUGGCGAAGGCGGCUUACUGGACUGUAACUGACGUUGAGGCUCGAACGCGUGGGGAGCAAACAGGAUUAGAUACCCCUGUAGUC
This 440-nucleotide ribosomal RNA is filed under the name uncultured bacterium. Its description in RNAcentral is "partial 16S ribosomal RNA". It matches the Rfam family "Bacterial small subunit ribosomal RNA", at positions 338 to 795 of the family's 1533-position model. The record is from RNAcentral.